CCAAAUCCACCUCUUGAACCGCCGCCAAAUCCACCUCUUGAAUUACCGCCAAAUCCACCUCUUGAACCACCACGGCCGCCGCGGAAACCACCGCGACCACCACGGCCUGCAGGUCCAUUACGAGCUCCCUUAGGCUUCUUAGGCCCAACUGUCUUAGGUUUAGGCAGGAAACGAUCCAAAGGAAUUAGUUUAUCACCGCUAAGGUACACUUUAUCACCAACCUUGAAUGAGCUGGAAACAAUUCCCUCAGAAGGCUUCACAGUAAAAUAUACUUGGUUCAUAGGGCCAAAGACUUCAUCUAUUUUACCAAUUUGGGACUAUGCUACGUUAGUGAUUAUAAAAUACUUAUUUUCUAUAUUAGAGAAACACAUACCUUGUUCUCCAGAUAAAUAGGGGCAUUGAAAUAAGGUAUUUUAACAUUGGUUGACUGGCAAACCAUUUCUCCUUCACAAUCGUGCAUGAAUAAUCCAAGUUCUAAAGGUAUGUCAGCAACUCCUUAUCAUAAACUUAGGCACUGGAAAAUUUCCUCUUGUUUUUUUCUUACCAAUGACUUGAUCGGGUGGACCUGAAGGAGUAAAAGGACGAGAUCCACCUCGUCCUCCUCUAAAUCCACCACCGCGACCGCCUCUAAAACUCAUUUCAGCUUGGCAGUUAGACUACUGAUGGUAUGGUGUUAGGACAGAUUCCAAAGUACACUUUUCGAGUUACAACGAAAAUUUCGCUGUCACAUUGCGUUUUGGUGUUGAGUACCGCACUGCUAUUCGUUAUUAAGCGUCACCAAGCAGCACUAUAUAUUUUUGCGUGUCAGCAAUACUACACUACGCUACGAUACACUACGUUGCGUAUCACUAUAUGUCACAUGUUCUAAUUAUAUAUCGUACCAUGUAUGAUACGAUAUGGAGAUUGAUCUUAAUGAUAAUCUAUUAAGAUCUAUAUUAUCUGAAUAAUAUAAAUAGAGCUACUGCUGAACCUCGUUCCUCAGUUCAGUUAUGAGCUAUAUUAGUGAUAGGUAACAUUAUAACCCAGUUAAUACAAUACCUAUACUCAGUUGCUACUUAUACA
Non-coding RNA from Schizosaccharomyces pombe (fission yeast), 1062 nucleotides. NCBI's taxonomy places the organism in Eukaryota, Fungi, Ascomycota, Schizosaccharomycetes, Schizosaccharomycetales, Schizosaccharomycetaceae. The record is from the annotation of a GenBank genome assembly.